RNAcentral lists this long non-coding RNA (474 nucleotides) under Rhinopithecus roxellana (golden snub-nosed monkey). RNAcentral describes it as "lncRNA (ENSRROG00000045861.1)". Lineage: Eukaryota; Metazoa; Chordata; Mammalia; Primates; Cercopithecidae. The record is from RNAcentral.
GCUAGUGCUCUCUGCUAUUGAAAUUGAGCUUUCAAGGCAUGUUUUCCAAAUUAAGUACUCACCUAUGGUUCAUUUGACCCUUCACAGGGAUUGAGACGGGAGGAAAACGAAUGUUCACUGUAAGCUGGAACAUGCUGGAAGCUGUUUAAAUGGAAGGGGCUGUUUCUAACCCCUCGGUUUCCCAAGAAGUUAAAUGCUGACCGUUUGAAACUGUCAGCGUUUCAAAUAUAUGGGCACUAGCAAGUGGGCUUCAAUGGAUAUAAUCUUUUUGUAAAAAAAUACAAAAAGAUAAAUGACAAGAAAACAAGACAAUGUAAAAGAGGAAUUUGAAAAACAAGAGCUGAUGGCCAUUGGUUUUAUAUGGGACUACACAAUGAGAGUUGCUGUUCACAUCGAUGUGAAACAUUGUCCAGUUUUAAGUGAAUGGAUGGAUGACCUGGCUGAAACCAGUUCCAACUGAGGUCUUCCCCAAGC